UCUCUUUCUCUGCAUUUUUCUUCCCCCGACAGAAACCCAUCACCUGCAGUUUCUUCUUCUCGAGCUUCACCACCACCACCUUCACCCGACCACGACAGUAGACCAAAUCAUCAGUUUAACCCCCUAGUCUUUCUUUCUCCAUCAUAGCUUCUUCAUACCUAGAUGAUACAAUUGAGAGAGGCAGACUUAGGGUUUCCCCUCACAGUCGAUUAAGGACAAUUGGAGUAGGAGAUGGAGUGGCAGAAGCAAGACAAGGCAUGGGUUGUCGUCAAUUAGCAGAGGAGAAAACAAAAUCAGAAGAUUGUUGGUGUUGCUGCUGCUGCUGCUGUGCUGUUGCUGCUGCUGGUGCUGUUGCUGCUGUGAACCAAAGCCCAACUGGGCUGUGAAACUAGAACAACAGAGCAGUUGGGCUGUGCUAAAAAGAGUAAGCCUAAACCCAAUAAUUGUGUGGGCUUGCUUUAAAAACUGAAAUUCCGGGCCUUGUAAAUUGAUUCUGAAACUCUUGAACCCAAGUGCACUUUGUUUCUGAACUCUGGGCUUGAACCCAACUCAGAAUUUGUAAAACGUUUUUAAGCCCAAGUGGGCCUCAUAUUUUUGCUAACUGAGAGCCCAAAAAUCAAAUACCCAGCUGGGCCUCGUGCAUUUCUGGGCUUGGUUCA
Papaver somniferum (opium poppy) is the source of this 659-nucleotide long non-coding RNA. RefSeq lists it as uncharacterized. The record is from RefSeq and is a predicted model, not a curated record. Lineage: Eukaryota; Viridiplantae; Streptophyta; Magnoliopsida; Ranunculales; Papaveraceae. The transcript has 2 exons.